RNAcentral lists this RNase P RNA (370 nucleotides) under Gammaproteobacteria bacterium. RNAcentral's name for it is "RNase P RNA component class A". It matches the Rfam family "Bacterial RNase P class A". Rfam says of the family: Ribonuclease P (RNase P) is a ubiquitous endoribonuclease, found in archaea, bacteria and eukarya as well as chloroplasts and mitochondria. Its best characterised activity is the generation of mature 5'-ends of tRNAs by cleaving the 5'-leader elements of precursor-tRNAs. Lineage: Bacteria; Pseudomonadati; Pseudomonadota; Gammaproteobacteria. The record is from RNAcentral.
AGAGUCGGCCAGACAGUCGCUGUGCGUUUUUUUGCGCAUGGAGGAAAGUCCGGGCUCCAUCGGGCGAGGUGCCAGGUAACACCUGGGGGGCGCGAGCCCACGGAAAGUGCAACAGAAAGAUACCGCCUAAGCGCCGCAAGGCGCCGGUAAGGGUGAAAUGGUGCGGUAAGAGCGCACCGCGUGGAUGGCAACAUCCUCGGCACGGCAAACCCCACCUGGAGCAAGGCCAAAUAGGGAAGCGAGCGGCGCCAUGAGCCGCGACAUGUGGCCCACAUGGGCUUCCGGGUAGGUCGCUUGAGGUGCACGGCGACGUGCAUCCCAGAGGAAUGACUGUCCUAGACAGAACCCGGCUUAACGGCCGACUCUUUUU